Molecule: ribosomal RNA, 253 nt
Filed under: uncultured bacterium
Lineage: Bacteria
Description: partial 16S ribosomal RNA
Rfam family: Bacterial small subunit ribosomal RNA
Source: RNAcentral
UACGUAGGGUGCAAGCGUUGUUCGGAAUUACUGGGCGUAAAGCGCGCGUAGGCGGUCUUGCAAGUCAGGGGUGAAAGGCCUGGGCUUAACCCGGGAGUGGCCUUUGAGACUGCGAGGCUUGAGAGUGGGAGAGGAUGGUGGAAUUCCCAGUGUAGAGGUGAAAUUCGUAGAUAUUGGGAAGAACACCGGUUGCGAAGGCGGCCAUCUGGCCCACCACUGACGCUGAAGCGCGAAAGCGUGGGGAGCAAACAGG